UACCGUGGAAAAAGAGAGCGAUCUAUGUGACCUCUAAACCUAGCGCCGCCAUGCCACGCGGCCGCCUCUUCCAAGAUCCUGGUCCUCCCCACCGUAGACUCGCUGUCCCAGGUCCACCCCCUACUGGCCUCCCCCUCUCUCGCCGGCCGCCAGCAGCAUCCUCGUGGUCUCAGGGACGCCAGCUUCCAGGCGGCGCCCAGCCCCACUCCGGCCGCCUCGACCUGCAGCUCCGGCACACGGUGCACUGCGGCUAGAAGGGAAGAUGACGGAUGGCGGGGUCGGCACAGAACUGCACAUCGCCACUCCUACUGAGUACACUGUCGGUGUCGAUCAGACUUGGAUUGAGAUUCAUAUUUCUAUGUUGCUUUUUUAUUUGCCUGCCCACUACAACAAUGAUAUCAGAGACAUACUAAUUAGUUUAUGUGAUCCUCGGCACAGGCGGAGCUCUCGGUACGGCGAGGACAGGCGCCCGUCCUACCUUGAUUUGCCGGGGAAGAAAAUUACGUACAGGUAUACGUAUGUUUACUCGCUCUGAUUCAUCGAUAGUUCCUGAAAAAAUCGUUGUCUUGUUGGGUCGUGAGUCAGUGAGCAGCGAUUCUGUCCUCCCAAGGUUCCAGCCGUACAACGCAGCACGAAGCCAGCCGGAGCUUACCUAGCAGCACAGAGCGGCGCACGGAGUCGGCGGACGGCUGCGGUCGGCGCGCGAUCUGGUGGACAGCGAGAGCAGCGAGGCCAGCAGCCAGCUGGAGCGGCGAGGGCGCGGUCAGCGUCCACAACCCACCUGCAGCCCCCUCAUCGACUCCGUGUUCUUUUUCCAUCCUUGUUCUGUUUUCUCUUUUUGUAGUGGUGUGUACACCAGUGGCUGGAGAUUCAUAACAUAUUGACGAAAUUUUCUAAUUAAAAACAGUGAGAAUGUGUGAUAUGUGAUAGUAAUUACUCAGUGCUUUACAGUCAUUUUUAUAUGUGCUUUAUGCUCUGUGAUAGAAAUUUGUCUGAAUAUUGAUGACUAAUUGACAAUUGCUGAUUAAAAACAGUGAGUGUGUGUGGGUGGCGCAGCCGCGUUGCCAACUUUGCUGGCGAAGGGAAAACAUGGAUAUGAAGGGGAAGGGCUAGCAAAGGCAAAGGUGAGGUGUGUAAUUUUUUUGAAUUUUAGUGGCAUUUUCAGCUAAAAGUAUUUGUGUGCACUACCAUUGUCUUUCGAAUUUUUUUUGUGCUUUAGAGUUCGCCCCACCUCAGAAAAAAUCGUCCUAUGCCACUGAUUCCUCGGGGAAAAAAUGUCCGUCCCGGUGAACUGCCACCCUCUCUGUCGUGCGACCAAAAAUUGUCCAUGUGUCCUCUGCCAUGUGAAGCUUGUUGCCAUCAUGCAGACUGACCUCGUGCCCCCCACUGUCGACCAGCGGCAAGCUAGCGGGCGAUUUGGAGAACAUAAGGGCCUUGCGCGAGCGCACAAGGCGGCCAAAUCAUCUAUAGAAAACUUGUACGUGCGGAUUCUAAAGGUAGCCACCACAAGGAUAAACUACAGAAGUAGAGAAAGCAAGGAGCUGUUGUUCCACUAUCAGCAUGUAGAAACUAGAAAUCAUAUACUCCUUCCGUUCCUAAAUAUAAGUCUUUUUAGAGAUUUCGAUAUGAACUACAUACGGAGCUAAAUUAGUGAAUCUACACUCUAAAGUACAUCUAUAUACAUCUGUAUGUAGUCGUAAAAAGACUUAUCUUUAGAAACGAAGGGAGUAGAUAUAUUUCAACUAGUUUGUGACAUGUAAUUUUUUUAUUGAUGAUGUGUACAUUUGAGUUGUAAAAUACUACUGCUCUCAUUAAUACAAUGCUAUUAUUUUGCGCUAUGCCA
Triticum dicoccoides is the source of this 1843-nucleotide long non-coding RNA. RefSeq lists it as uncharacterized. The record is from RefSeq and is a predicted model, not a curated record. Lineage: Eukaryota; Viridiplantae; Streptophyta; Magnoliopsida; Poales; Poaceae. The transcript is spliced from 3 exons.